Hibiscus syriacus is the source of this 568-nucleotide long non-coding RNA. RefSeq lists it as uncharacterized. NCBI's taxonomy places the organism in Eukaryota, Viridiplantae, Streptophyta, Magnoliopsida, Malvales, Malvaceae. The transcript has 2 exons. The record is from RefSeq and is a predicted model, not a curated record.
AGUUAAACUUACCACUUCAGGCCACUAUUGACUCCCACCGACAAUGACACUAGUCUAACCUGAACGAACCGAGACCUAACCUAAUGUGAUCCUAACCCACAUAUAAGACUCUGACCGGCCUAAGAGGACUCAACUCUUCUUUUCUCUUCCACGAUGACCAACUAUGGUCAUAUCUACGCAAGGUGAUGAACCCAGAAGAACAAGGAGAGAGAGAGCUCUGUAUUACUUUCUUUAGGAAAAAAAUGAGAGAGGAAGCUUGGUUUCCAAUGGAAAAAAACUUGAAAUGAUGCAUUCUAUUCUCUUUUUCGAAUGAUGGGGACCGAUUGUUAAGGUUAGGGUUAUCUCCCAUAUUAGUUUAGGAUGUGGUCUAAUUAGGAUUCAAGUUUGGGUGAUGGACAUGUGUAUUGUAAUGGUGGGUUAAGUGUAAAUGGGUAAUGAUAUGUAUAAAUGGACAUGGACAUAUUUUUGGUUUAAUUUAAAUGGUUUAUUUAUUUUGGAUUUAGGUAUUUUAUUUUGGGUUAACCAUGUAAUGAAUUGGGCAUUUGGAUUUAAUAGACUGGUUGAUGAA